CGGGGAAUAUUGGACAAUGGGCGCAAGCCUGAUCCAGCCAUACCGCGUGGGUGAAGAAGGCCUUCGGGUUGUAAAGCCCUUUUGUUGGGAAAGAAAUCCAGCUGGCUAAUACCCGGUUGGGAUGACGGUACCCAAAGAAUAAGCACCGGCUAACUUCGUGCCAGCAGCCGCGGUAAUACGAAGGGUGCAAGCGUUACUCGGAAUUACUGGGCGUAAAGCGUGCGUAGGUGGUCGUUUAAGUCCGUUGUGAAAGCCCUGGGCUCAACCUGGGAACUGCAGUGGAUACUGGGCGACUAGAGUGUGGUAGAGGGUAGCGGAAUUCCUGGUGUAGCAGUGAAAUGCGUAGAGAUCAGGAGGAACAUCCAUGGCGAAGGCAGCUACCUGGACCAACACUGACACUGAGGCACGAAAAGCGUGGGGAGCAAACAGGAUUAGAUACCCUGGUAGUCCACGCCCCUAAACGAUGCGAACUGGAUGUUGGGUGCAAUUUGGCACGCAGUAUCGAAGCUAACGCGUUAAGUUCGCCGCCUGGGGAGUACGGUCGCAAGACUGAAACUCAAAUGAGUUGACGGGGUCAUAGC
This 581-nucleotide ribosomal RNA is filed under the name uncultured bacterium. RNAcentral's name for it is "partial 16S ribosomal RNA". It matches the Rfam family "Bacterial small subunit ribosomal RNA", at positions 355 to 925 of the family's 1533-position model. The record is from RNAcentral.